UCUUGUAUGGGAAAUCAAGG
This 20-nucleotide non-coding RNA is filed under the name Rattus norvegicus (Norway rat). The record is from RNAcentral. Lineage: Eukaryota; Metazoa; Chordata; Mammalia; Rodentia; Muridae.